This 253-nucleotide ribosomal RNA is filed under the name uncultured bacterium. RNAcentral describes it as "partial 16S ribosomal RNA". It matches the Rfam family "Bacterial small subunit ribosomal RNA", at positions 524 to 776 of the family's 1533-position model. The record is from RNAcentral.
UACGUAGGGUGCGAGCGUUAAUCGGAAUUACUGGGCGUAAAGCGUGCGCAGGCGGUUUGCUAAGACAGGUGUGAAAGCCCCGGGCUUAACCUGGGAAUUGCGCUUGUGACUGGCAGACUGGAGUGUGGCAGAGGGAGGUGGAAUUCCACGUGUAGCAGUGAAAUGCGUAGAGAUGUGGAGGAACACCGAUGGCGAAGGCAGCCUCCUGGGCCGUAACUGACGCUGAGGAGCGAAAGCGUGGGGAGCGAACAGG